RNAcentral lists this long non-coding RNA (1957 nucleotides) under Ursus maritimus (polar bear). Its description in RNAcentral is "lncRNA (ENSUMAG00000015240.1)". The record is from RNAcentral. Lineage: Eukaryota; Metazoa; Chordata; Mammalia; Carnivora; Ursidae.
AAAAAAUUCAAGUGUGUUUGGUGGGGUACUUUGUGUCAUUAAACAUCUUGAUUAAGCGGGGCUACAGUGUAUACCAUUUGGUGAUGAUUAAUUUCCAAAGAUUAGAGUGCCACCGACUGCCCCGGACGCUAAAAUCAUGCCAAACACGAUCAGUUUUCGUUUGAUGAGUCAAAAUGCACUUCUGGAUCUUGUCAAGCCUUGAGGUCAUCAUUACAAGCAACAUUUGGUUGUGAAAAACAGUUCUCCUUAUUUAACCUCCUGAACUGGAUUCUGAGCAAGGAGCAGUUCCCUGGGCUAUGGCUAAUCCCACUGAAACACAGCCCCUGCCCUCCUCUCUCGGUUUGUAACUCUGUUUUCCCAGGUGGGACUGGCUUCAAGCAGGGUCUACCUGUGCUCAGAGCAGAUGGAGAGAGGCAGGUUCAGCCUCCCUGGAAGGGAGGAGGCUUCAAGUUCAUUGUAGUUACUGGUGACUGGUUUUGAAAUUGAGGAACUAGUUUGAGGAACUUCAGAAUAAACAAGAAACCCAAACAACUCGGCUUUCCACAGAAGACUUCCAGCGCACGGGGGUAAAUGGAAGGGAGCACACGGUCCAGCUCUGCUUUUUGGCAGCGGAACCCUGAUCAUGGCCUCAUUUCAGAUGCAGCCCUACACACCCUUUGACAGACUGACCUGAAUGACAACUUGAGGACGUGAGCAGCAAAGGUGCUGUGCUGGCCAGAAGAUGCCAUGGUGACCAAGACAGACAAGGUCCUUGCUCUCACGAGGCUAUCACCACUAUAACCCUGGAGAGGCUUUUCUGGAAUGCUGAACUUAGUUACGAAGAAGCACCAACAUGGGUCAGGCUUUGAGUCAUUUGCCUACAAACCUGUGUCAGAGUGGUGCCAAGCACAUGGGAUUUGUCAUCGUGUCACCGCCUUCUCUACUCCAGCCUGGAAGUGCCUUCACCUCUGUAAAUGCGAUCCUUUCCUCCCAGACUGCUGAAGUUUCCGGAUUGUUCUCAAGCUCCUUUUCCAAGCUGACAGAUCCCACCCAGGGGCCACCGUCCAGAUACGACAUCAUGCUUUGCCCACAAGGAAGAGCUUCUUCACUGCGAGUUGCUGGAUGAAUCCUGUUGGAAUGACCCCUGACUACUCUGGUUUUUCUGGGCACCUGCAUGCCAUGGGCAACAUGUCUCGUCUUCACAGUGGAAAGAUGCAGAGGAGUUUCUUGGUGCCCAGUGGGUUUGUACCCUCACGGUCAAUCAUGAAUAGUAUCUGAACGCCCACUCUGGGCAAGACACUGCUUGGGGAGGUAGGUAGGAUGCCCUAAAGGUGCACGCAACCUUUGAGACUUCCGGGUAACCGUGCCCAGAAUUAUAUUUUCUUAUCAACUUUGACCUCCUUUUGGUGACACAAACUCAUGGUAUAAGAGAGUGUCAAGUGAUUAGCUUUCUGUUUACUUUUUCUUAGGCCCAGAGCAGCUGCUCUGACUCCACCCUUCCCAGGUCUGGCACCGCUUUGCAGAAAGACUGACAGGGAUGGGGUCAAGGUGGGGGAACAAAGAAGGAACUAGUUAACAGAUCCAAUUCCUCCUCCAGGAGUAGUUCCCUUGUUCAGUGGCAAACCAGCACAGUAAAAAGAGCCCGGACUUCAGUUCAGAUUCUGCCAUUAAGCAGCUGUGUGGCCUUGGGCAACUCACUCGUCUUCCCUGGGCCACCAUUUUCUCUUCUGUAAAACAGGGGAGAAUGUGAAUGGUGAGGAUCAUCUCCAGGCUGUAAUUCUAAUAGCUCUUUCUUGGCAGAGUGGUUAAGGCCUAAAGGUCACUUAGCCACGCUUGCCUGAAAUGAUGGCUGGCUAGCUCAGAUUGAUGGGGUAUUCCUCUGGGGCCGAGGGGGGCUCUGUGACCACUUGCAAGGCAAUGCUUGUUCUUCCCCUGAGGCUUCAAUAAAAUCAAGCCCACAUUGUGGGUGACCCUGGAC